Molecule: ribosomal RNA, 253 nt
Filed under: uncultured bacterium
Lineage: Bacteria
Description: partial 16S ribosomal RNA
Rfam family: Bacterial small subunit ribosomal RNA
Source: RNAcentral
UACAGAGGGGGCAAGCGUUAUUCGGAAUUAUUGGGCGUAAAGGGCGCGUAGGCGGCUUCGCAAGUGGAAGGUGAAAUCCCUCGGCUUAACCGAGGAACUGCCCUCCAAACUGCGUUGCUUGAGGCCGGGAGAGGUGAGUGGAAUUCCCAGUGUAGCGGUGAAAUGCGUAGAUAUUAGGAAGAACACCAGUGGCGAAGGCGGCUCACUGGAUCGGUACUGACGCUGAGGUGCGAAAGCGUGGGGAGCAAACAGG